UUGUAACUAUCUAUUAGUAAUAAAAUGACAUUUAGUUAGUGACAUUUAUGAUAAAUGUAAACAAGUUACUACUUGUUUUUCUUGGUAAAAAUAAAAUUACUACUUACAAAUUUCAAAAAGAGAUGGUAUAUAUUUUGCAAAACUUCCCCCAAAAUUUCCCUAAAAUCUCCCAAAAAAACCCUACUCCCUGCAAUAUCCCUCUCUCAAAAGUCAUAACAUUCAAGUUCAUAUCCCCCUUCCCAAUUUCUCUAUCCCCUCCAAAUCCCUCCACCCCAAACGUGAACCUCAAACACCUUCAGGAAUAGCAGUAUGAAAGUAUUCGUGUACUGUGUUGUUGCUUAAUUCUCUCUUUCCAUCUCUUUGUGUACUGACAUUGACACAUUGAAAAUCACCAUUUAUCUUUCUUUCUUGAUUUGAUUCGAAUUGCUCCUUCUUUCUGGAGUGUGUUUUGAUUUCAUGGAGGAAUUGAAUCAUGUUUAGAAGUAUUCUAAGUUCAGAAUUUCGAAGCGUAAUCUAUGUUGUGAUUUUAUUGUGUGAGUGUAAAAUAGAAUAUGUGGGGUGUUAUUGUACAAUAUACUAAUGUGGAUUAUCACAUUCACAGAUUAUGCCCUACGAGUGUUUGACAAAAUACCGCAAAGAGCAUUUUAAAUACUUUGACCUUUGGUCACCAACAAAGGUUUAUUCUAAUCUCAAGGUUGCACAACUCAUAUGCCUCUCUAUUCAGAAAGAUAGCUAACAAUGCUUAUUGUCUAUUGUUUCCUUCCACACCUCUAUUGUUAAAAUGUACUGAUGGCUAUGCUGGUUGAUUAGCUAAAACAUAAGGUUGCACACAUGUGAUUGGCCUGAGUUUGUUGGAUAUGGAGUGGCAAUGAGAAAGUCUAGUGUGGCAUCUUAUGGUAAGGUCCUAUAGAUUUGACGGCCAACAACUUCAUUCUUUCUUAAAGUUGUGUUUUCUACUCAUAAGGAUUUCUCGUUCGUUGAUAGAAGAUACUCGUGGAAUAGUUCAGUUGGUUGCUCUACUGCAUAAAGAUGAUGCUAGUGGUAAAGAAGUUUCACUAUAUAACUUAAUAUUUUUAAAUUAUUCUUGCAUGUAGAUUAUGAUAUCUUCUUGUAACUUUCAACUACUUGCAAAUUUAUAACACAUUUUAUAAAAAUAUAGAUUGAAACCUCAGACAA
This is a long non-coding RNA of Nicotiana tabacum (common tobacco), 1176 nucleotides long. RefSeq lists it as uncharacterized. The record is from RefSeq and is a predicted model, not a curated record. Lineage: Eukaryota; Viridiplantae; Streptophyta; Magnoliopsida; Solanales; Solanaceae.